Camellia sinensis is the source of this 820-nucleotide non-coding RNA. Lineage: Eukaryota; Viridiplantae; Streptophyta; Magnoliopsida; Ericales; Theaceae. The record is from RefSeq and is a predicted model, not a curated record.
UUUGAGGGAAUAAACCUGUGACCAACAGUUAGUUAACCGAUGAGAUUACUAUGUUAAAGAUGGUGUCAUUCCAUGCGAAUACUUCUCUGCGGGAAUGAGUAGGCCCCCAACAGUGCUAGCAUCACAGAAAUAAAACACAGAAAAUGCACAAGUGCAUUGUGUGGCUGGCAUUCAUUCUAAGUGGCUCACACUACAUCCAAAAUGAAUUUUAAACGCACAAUACACAUUAUGUGUACUUUUUUGUGUCCUAUUUCUAUGCACUUCGCAUUAUUGCUAAGCCCCCCCCUCCCCCCCAAUAAACGCACCUCUCCUGGAGCAGAAAAGUAAACUGUUGUACUGGAUGGGAGCCCCGGAAGAACCAAGCUGUGCACACGGACUCCAUCUUCUCCCAGAACUUGACCCCUUGCCUUGGAUGACAACAAAAAGAAUCUGACCGAGGUUGGAGAGGUUGUUGGCAAUUUGUAUUGCAUCCUGUGAUGGAAAAUCCUGUCCACCAACAAUUCCAGUGCCAUAAAUACUUGUAUGCAAGCCAAGAGCAAGUGGGGAGGGUACCAGUGACAACAGAGCUGGCAGCAUCUGUUCCGAACACAUUGGACACUGACCAGCCAGAUCUUAAAAAGAAAAAUUGCUGACCAGUUUGUGUUGAAGAAAAAAAAAUGUAAUUUUGUUGCUACUUUUAUUGUGUCAAAACAUUUGUAUGUCUAUACAUAUUAUGCAUAUUAAGUUUGGUACGAACAUAAGUUUUGUUGUGCUUUGUGAUUUUCCAAAAUUGUCCCUCAAAACAAAUCAAGAUCAAUGUAAAUUUUGAUCAGAAAAUAAA